CCAAUGCCACUUGCAAGUCGCAAUAUAAGUGAUAUUGCAUUUUAUUUAAGGAGGUUAGAAUAAAAUUUCUUGGUUUGAUCUUUGUUGCCCAAACUCCAGCAAAUGUAAACAUAAAUGACGGUACUGUGAAAUGAAUCAGCUAAUCUGACUUGUAUGGCAAACCGAAAAACUAUUUCAGCUUCUUGACAAAGUCAGAGAGCUGUAGAAGG
This 209-nucleotide unclassified non-coding RNA is filed under the name Hevea brasiliensis (rubber tree). Lineage: Eukaryota; Viridiplantae; Streptophyta; Magnoliopsida; Malpighiales; Euphorbiaceae. The record is from RNAcentral.